Molecule: long non-coding RNA, 1338 nt
Organism: Oncorhynchus gorbuscha (pink salmon)
Lineage: Eukaryota; Metazoa; Chordata; Actinopteri; Salmoniformes; Salmonidae
Exons: 3
Source: RefSeq, a predicted model, not a curated record
UAGAGGCAGAGAAUCUGGAGAGAGUUACUGCAGGAUACUACAGAGAGAGAGGGGGAGUAGAGGCAGAGAAUCUGGAGAGAGUUACUGCAGGAUACUACAGAGAGAGAGGGGGAGUAGAGGCAGAAGACGAGUGCAGCACAAAGAAUUAGAAAGUGAACACAGACGUUUAAAGAGAGGAAAACUGCUGUGAAGACAGACAGACAGACAGACAGACAGACAGACAGACAGACAGACAGACAGACAGACAGACAGACAGACAGACAGACAGACAGACAGACAGACAGACAGACAGACAGACAGACAGACAGACAGACAGACAGACAGACAGACAGACAGACAGACAGACAGGCACAGAGAUGUCAAAGAACAAAAGACAAUAUUUUAGUCCAACUGGAAAACUGGAGCAAGUGAAUUAUUAGGUGAAGAGCCAGAACAGCAGAGAUGAGACGACACGAACGAGAGGAGUAAGAAGACGAGCAGGGUGAGAGAGAGAGAGAAAAGACAAUCCAUCCCAGAGUUUAGGAAACCAUUUGUUGUUGCUUUGACUCUGUUUGCCAGGGUUUUUAAUGAGAAACUUUGGGAGAAGUAGAUCCAAUCUGUACUGAAGUUGGAGAGGCGGACUUGUCAAACUCCACAUCUAAACUCAUUCACUCCAAAGUUUGACCAACAUUACCCUGUGUGUGUGAGACCUGACCAGGCCAAGGGGAAAUCCAAGAUGGAGGUGAGGAAGGAGGUGUUGCACAUCCUGAAUAUGGUGUGGACUAAACUGCAGAACCUGCCUCAGGCCAAUUCACUGGAGCUGGGGGCGUUCUUCAUCAUCAUCCUGUUCGUCGCUACAUUUUUGUUUAUUAUAGUGCUGUCCUGCGUUCGCUGCUGUUGCUGUGGAAAGAUUAAAUCCCGAGUCCAGCCCUUACAGUCUGUCUGAGGAGGAGACAUUGGCCCAGUUACAAUAUAUAGAACAUUUAAGGAAGGGAGGAAACAGCAAUCCCAGGGAAGAACUAGUCUUAGAAUCACCUGGACAAUGUAGCUUGGAGGAGACAGACAGACUGCUCUGCAACCAGCCUGAGGAAUCUGUGUGUGUAUUAAGACUGAUGAGCAAUGGCCGACUCAUUAACACUACGUAGCAGUAGCUUUAAACAGACAAUGACACUCUAUAAACAGAGAACUGUGAACAUUGCUUCUGUGCUGUUGUUUUGUCUGAGGACACAAACCACUCCGAGAUUUAUCCUGCUUUCUCAUGUGAUUUGACCUGGAAGAGCCGAUAGGUUUUAUGUUGUAAGUUUUGUAGGUCUAUAGAAGGAAACAUUUUAAAUAAAUAAAAACUCCCUCAGAUUUCAA